GUCCACGCCGUAAACGAUGGAUGCUAAUAGUUCGAGGUAUCGACCCCUUGGGCUGUGAAGCUAACGCGUUAAGCAUCCCGCCUGGGGAGUACGAGCGCAAGCUUAAAACUCAAAGGAAUUGACGGGGACCCGCACAAGCGGUGGAUGAUGUGGUUUAAUUCGAUGGUACGCGAAGAACCUUACCAAGGCUUGACAUCCUAGGAAUCCUGGCGAAAGUCGGGAGUGCCUUCGGGAACCUAGUGACAGGUGUUGCAUGGUCGUCGU
This 264-nucleotide ribosomal RNA is filed under the name uncultured bacterium. Its description in RNAcentral is "partial 16S ribosomal RNA". It matches the Rfam family "Bacterial small subunit ribosomal RNA", at positions 793 to 1055 of the family's 1533-position model. The record is from RNAcentral.